Molecule: ribosomal RNA, 465 nt
Filed under: Vreelandella stevensii
Lineage: Bacteria; Pseudomonadati; Pseudomonadota; Gammaproteobacteria; Oceanospirillales; Halomonadaceae
Description: partial 16S ribosomal RNA
Rfam family: Bacterial small subunit ribosomal RNA
Source: RNAcentral
CCUACGGAGCGCAGCAGUGGGGAAUAUUGGACAAUGGGCGAAAGCCUGAUCCAGCCAUGCCGCGUGUGUGAAGAAGGCCUUCGGGUUGUAAAGCACUUUCAGUGGGGAAGAAAGCCUUGGGGCUAAUACCCUCGAGGAAGGACAUCACCCACAGAAGAAGCACCGGCUAACUCCGUGCCAGCAGCCGCGGUAAUACGGAGGGUGCGAGCGUUAAUCGGAAUUACUGGGCGUAAAGCGCGCGUAGGCGGUCUGAUAAGCCGGUUGUGAAAGCCCCGGGCUCAACCUGGGAACGGCAUCCGGAACUGUCAGGCUAGAGUGCAGGAGAGGAAGGUAGAAUUCCCGGUGUAGCGGUGAAAUGCGUAGAGAUCGGGAGGAAUACCAGUGGCGAAGGCGGCCUUCUGGACUGACACUGACGCUGAGGUGCGAAAGCGUGGGUAGCAAACAGGAUUAGAUACCCUGGUAGUC